RNAcentral lists this ribosomal RNA (475 nucleotides) under Craugastor alfredi (Alfred's rain frog). Its description in RNAcentral is "partial 12S ribosomal RNA". It matches the Rfam family "Bacterial small subunit ribosomal RNA", at positions 780 to 1493 of the family's 1533-position model. The record is from RNAcentral. Lineage: Eukaryota; Metazoa; Chordata; Amphibia; Anura; Craugastoridae.
AGAUACCCCACUAUGCUCAGCCGUAAACCUUAACUUACAUCGAAAUCGCCAGGGAACUACGAGCCAUGCUUAAAACCCAAAGGACUUGACGGCACCCCAUAUCCAUCUAGAGGAGCCUGUCCUGUAAUCGAUAAUCCCCGCUAAACCUCACCCCUUCUAGCUUCUCAGCCUGUAUACUUCCGUCGCCAGCCCACCACAUGAGCGCCACUCAGUAGGCACCCCCGCUAAAUUCGCAAAAACAUCAGGUCAAGGUGCAGCAAAUGGAGGGGAAAGAGAUGGGCUACAUUCUCUAAUAUAGAGUACACGAAUAACUGCAUAUGAAACCCAGUUUGAAGGCGGAUUUAGAAGUAAAGAGAAAUCAAAGAGUCCUCUUUAACUCGGCGCUGGGGUGUGUACACACCGCCCGUCACCCUCCUCGAAGCUACCAAACAGUAACUAACAACUAAUUGCAUAAGAGAGGAGGCAAGUCGUAACA